GCGGCGACCGCGGCGCAUCGGGCUGAAACGGUGGCAGCGCUGCAGCCGGGGCCGGAGCGCAGGAGCCAACGGGGCCCGGCCGGGAUGGUGCAGCGGCGGCUCCUUGGCGCACACACGCACUGAGUGGGCCCAAGCUGGGCCCCGCGCCCCCCGCGCCCCCCGCCGCCCCGAUCCCGGCCGGCAUGAUGUGCCUGGAAUGCGCCUCGGCGGCGGCGGGCGGCGCGGAGGAGGAGGAGGCGGACGCGGAGCGGCGGCGCCGGCGCCGGGGGGCGCAGCGAGGGGCCGGCGGUGGCGGUUGCUGCGGGGCGGGGGCAGCGGGCGCCGCUGGAGUCGCGACCGCCGACGAUGAGGUGCAGACGCUGUCGGGCAGCGUGAGACGGGCCCCUUCCGGACCCCCCAGCACUCCCAGCACUCCCGGCUGCGCAGCGGCUGUCAAGGGCCCGGGCGCACAGCAGCCCAAACCAGCCAGCUUGGGCCGCGGGCGGGGGGCAGCCGCCGCCAUCCUCAGCUUGGGCAACGUGCUCAACUACCUGGACAGGUACACCGUAGCAGGUGUUCUUCUGGAUAUCCAGCAACACUUUGGGGUCAAGGACCGUGGCGCCGGUUUGCUGCAGUCAGUUUUCAUCUGCAGCUUCAUGGUGGCCGCCCCCAUCUUCGGCUACCUGGGUGACCGCUUCAACAGGAAGGUGAUCCUCAGCUGCGGGAUUUUCUUCUGGUCGGUGGUCACGUUCUCCAGCUCCUUCAUCCCCCAGCAGCACUUCUGGCUGCUGGUCCUCUCCCGCGGGCUGGUGGGCAUCGGCGAGGCCAGCUACUCCACCAUCGCGCCCACCAUCAUUGGCGACCUCUUCACCAAGAACACGCGCACGCUCAUGCUGUCUGUCUUCUACUUCGCCAUCCCGCUGGGCAGCGGCCUGGGCUACAUCACCGGCUCCAGCGUGAAGCAGGCGGCCGGAGACUGGCACUGGGCCUUGCGGGUGUCCCCAAUCCUGGGCAUGAUCACAGGAACGCUCAUCCUUGUCCUGGUCCCGGCCACGAAGAGGGGCCAUGCUGACCAGCUUGGGGGGCAGCUCAAGGCACGGACGUCAUGGCUCCGAGACAUGAAGGCCCUGAUCCGCAACCGCAGCUACGUCUUCUCCUCCCUGGCCACGUCGGCCGUGUCCUUCGCCACAGGGGCCCUGGGCAUGUGGAUUCCGCUCUACCUGCACCGUGCCCAAGUCGUGCAGAAGACGGCGGAAACCUGCAGCAGCCCGCCCUGUGGGGCCAAGGACAGCCUCAUCUUUGGGGCCAUUACCUGCUUCACGGGUUUUCUGGGUGUGGUCACGGGGGCAGGAGCCACGCGCUGGUGCCGCCUGAGGACCCAGAGGGCUGACCCGCUGGUGUGUGCUGUGGGCAUGCUGGGCUCCGCCAUCUUCAUCUGCCUCAUCUUUGUGGCCGCCAAGAGCAGCAUCGUGGGCGCCUAUAUUUGCAUCUUCGUAGGGGAGACGCUGCUGUUUUCUAACUGGGCUAUCACUGCGGACAUCCUCAUGUAUGUGGUCAUCCCCACCCGGCGGGCUACUGCCGUGGCCCUGCAGAGCUUCACCUCCCACCUGCUGGGGGAUGCUGGAAGCCCCUACCUCAUUGGCUUUAUCUCCGACCUGAUCCGCCAGAGCACCAAGGACUCCCCGCUCUGGGAGUUCCUGAGCCUGGGCUACGCCCUCAUGCUCUGCCCCUUCGUCGUGGUCCUGGGUGGCAUGUUCUUCCUGGCCACCGCGCUCUUCUUCCUCAGCGACCGUGCCAAGGCUGAGCAGCAGUCCCUGCCCAGCACGUCCGGCCCGCCGGCUCCCGCGAUGCGAUGCUCCAGAGCAGUGCCCGGGCCCGGCCCCCGCUGAUGUGCCACCUUGACCCCCGCCCGUCUCUCCCCCAGGGUGAACCAGCUGGUGAUGCCUCCUACAUCCAUGAAAGCCUGAGGCAGUGCUGCUGGGAUAACGAAGGACCCGGACUCCUGCCUAGUCUGGGAGGUGUCCCCCGGCACCCUGGCCCUGCCAGGCUGUCCCGAAGCUUUCCUUGUGACCCACAGCGGGGCUCCCACCAGCUCUGGUCUGGGACUGCUGAGUGGCAGUGGUUCCAAGAAGCUGUGUCCUCAACUAACCUGGAAGGCUGUGUCUGCUGGAGCCAUGCCCUGGGACAGGCCACCCCCAGGCCCCGGUCUGGGCCACAGGGGCCCUGGGGUCCUGGAGGAAGACAGCCCCCCAUGGGUGUGUGGGGAGAGGCUGGCCUGUCCCCAGCUUAUGUGAUCCUGGGGCAGUGUCUGCCCUCCCCAGACCCUGGGGCCAGGAGGCUGGACUUUCCCAUGCAGCUUGUUGGGCAAGGUGCUGGCUGCAGCUUUGAAGACCCAACAGCCCCUGGACUACACAGAAAGGAGGGGGUCCAGGCCUCAGGGCGGCACUUCUGGCUCCCCAAGGGCCGGGUGGGUGAGGACCUCUGACCUUGAGGACACUGGACUCAACCUGGCAAGAGCUGGGCACCCAAGCUGCUGGCACUUCCCAGCCUGGCUGGCCACUCUGGAGGACACUGGUCUCUGCCUUGGGCUGGCUGUCAGCUUGGCAGUCUCCCAGGUGGGGGACCGUGCCGACGAGCUGGCGUCACCGGGAGCAAAGGCCCUGGUGGCAGUGGCACACCACCUGUGCCCCAUGCUUGAGACCUUUGGGGGUUCCCCGUCCCUACAGGGCUCCUCGGAUCCACCGAAGCACCCCCACUGUCCAUCCCCUGCCUGACCAUCCCCACAGAUGCCAGGAACUGACUCUUGCCCCCAGGCUGGACCCCUUCCAGGGGCAGCGCCCAGGGGAGUAUUCCCAGAAUCUGUAGGGCAGGAGCCAGGGCUCUGGCUGCCAGAGGAAACAGCCAUCCUCCAAGCUUCCUGUCCCUGGGAAGAGCCUGGUGGAGGCUAAGGUGCACCAGGAGAGGCCAGCACUCGAGUCACCUCCCUGUGCAUGUCAGCCACUCAGUUCACACGUUUCCAUGUGGCCGAGACCCCCACCCCCGCAGCCACACACCAGGGUACAGCUGCCAACUUCACAUCAGACCCCCCACGCCCCCACUGACGCUUGUCCCCUCUGCUCCACACACCCCCUCCCCACCACAUCAAGGUGGUUCUGGUCUGGUGGGCCCCGUGGGGCUGGUAGGAGACCCUAAGAGCCAGCCAGCUUAGUGCUCCCUACUCAGUUACUGGUUGGCUUGGCUUCAGGGGUGGGUAAGUUGGUGGAGCACCCACUCCCUACCAAGCUCUGGGGUACCCUAGGAGGGGGGCUUAACCAGGGGGUGGGAUUCCCCCGAAGACCAGCCUGGCCUCCACUCCCACCCCAGCCUCAGCCCAGGGCCCCAGCAAUGUUUUCUUGUUGUACAAGAACCAGGUCCAAGUGCUGCUUCCUCUUCCUUCCGGAAGCCAAACUGCUCCUUUAUUUUUUAGAGCUGCUGAUUGUGAAUCUCAGAGUCUUAAGAGAGAAGCCAAAUAUAUUCCUCUUGUAAAUGAAGAAAUAAAGCUAUUUAAGUCA
This is an RNA transcript of Capra hircus (goat), 3530 nucleotides long. It is a transcript of the gene named sphingolipid transporter 2, with no coding region annotated. The record is from RefSeq and is a predicted model, not a curated record. Lineage: Eukaryota; Metazoa; Chordata; Mammalia; Artiodactyla; Bovidae. The transcript is spliced from 13 exons.